UUGGCGGACGGGUGAGAAACGCGUGGGUAAUCUACCCUUGGAUUUGGGAUAACUUCGCGAAAGUGGAGCUAAUACCGGAUAGUCUGGCUUUAGAUAUAAGGUCGGUAAAGGAUGCCUCUGCAUAUGCAUUCGUCCAAGGAUGAGCCCGCGUCUCAUUAGCUAGUUGGUAGGGUAAUGGCCUACCAAGGCAACGAUGAGUAACUGGUCUGAGAGGAUGAUCAGUCACACUGGAACUGAAACACGGUCCAGACUCCUACGGGAGGCAGCAGUGGGGAAUAUUGCGCAAUGGGCGAAAGCCUGACGCAGCAACGCCGUGUGAGGGAUGAAGGCUUUCGGGUCGUAAACCUCUGUCGGAAGGGAAGAACGGGCAACGGUCUAAUAGGCCGUUGUUUUGACGGUACCUUUAGAGGAAGCACCGGCUAACUCCGUGCCAGCAGCCGCGGUAAU
RNAcentral lists this ribosomal RNA (447 nucleotides) under uncultured Desulfomicrobium sp. RNAcentral's name for it is "bacterial SSU rRNA". It matches the Rfam family "Bacterial small subunit ribosomal RNA", at positions 95 to 524 of the family's 1533-position model. The record is from RNAcentral. Lineage: Bacteria; Pseudomonadati; Thermodesulfobacteriota; Desulfovibrionia; Desulfovibrionales; Desulfomicrobiaceae.